RNAcentral lists this long non-coding RNA (334 nucleotides) under Salmo salar (Atlantic salmon). RNAcentral's name for it is "lncRNA (ENSSSAG00000087786.1)". The record is from RNAcentral. Lineage: Eukaryota; Metazoa; Chordata; Actinopteri; Salmoniformes; Salmonidae.
CUCAGUAUGAGGUCCAGAGAGUCCCAGUCCCUCCUGGAUCCUGAUGGGGUUGGGACCGGGCUGGCCUUCAGCAGACCCAAACACCUCAGCAGAACCACAGAGGAGGAUGAGCAGAACCCUCACAGACACAGACCCAAACCCACCGUGUUCACCAAUAAAGAAGCUCCUGAAUGGUACAGGAAAGUCAAGUUCCAGCCUGAAUGACCAAUGAGUGGCCUUACAGGUGGUGCAGAUGGGAUUUGUGUAGACACUCCAAACUGGUUUUAUUUACACUACUGUAUUGACAGGGAAGAGUGAGCUGGAUAAGUACCUCUCCCCUCAGACGCACCUCCUG